GACGAACGCUGGCGGCGCGCCUAACACAUGCAAGUCGAACGGAGCUUAGAGAGCUUGCUUUUUAAGCUUAGUGGCGAACGGGUGAGUAACGCGUGAGUAACCUGCCCUGGAGUGGGGGACAACAGUUGGAAACGACUGCUAAUACCGCAUAAGCGCACGGUAUCGCAUGAUACAGUGUGAAAAACUCCGGUGGUAUAAGAUGGACCCGCGUCUGAUUAGCUUGUUGGUGAGGUAACGGCCCACCAAGGCGACGAUCAGUAGCCGGCCUGAGAGGGUGAACGGCCACAUUGGGACUGAGACACGGCCCAAACUCCUACGGGAGGCAGCAGUGGGGAAUAUUGCACAAUGGGGGAAACCCUGAUGCAGCGACGCCGCGUGAGUGAUGAAGUAUUCGGUAUGUAAAACUCUAAUCAGCAGGGAAGAUAAAUGACGGUACCUGACUAAGAANCAACCGGCUAAAUACGUAGCCAGCAGCC
Molecule: ribosomal RNA, 476 nt
Filed under: uncultured bacterium
Lineage: Bacteria
Description: bacterial SSU rRNA
Rfam family: Bacterial small subunit ribosomal RNA
Source: RNAcentral